Molecule: ribosomal RNA, 614 nt
Filed under: uncultured Rhizopogon
Lineage: Eukaryota; Fungi; Basidiomycota; Agaricomycetes; Boletales; Rhizopogonaceae
Description: eukaryotic LSU rRNA
Rfam family: 5.8S ribosomal RNA (bases 292-446)
Source: RNAcentral
CUUGGUCAUUUAGAGGAAGUAAAAGUCGUAACAAGGUUUCCGUAGGUGAACCUGCGGAAGGAUCAUUAACGAAUAUAAUUCGAGGGGUUGUCGCUGGCCUCGCUCGCGCGAGGCAUGUGCACGCUUCGCGUUUUUCUGAUAACCAACCUGUGAACCUAAUGUAGGAUGCCUCUCCUCCGGGAGGGGGGACCUACGUCUUCUCAACAUCUUCGUGUAGAAAGUCUUUGAAUGUUUACUAUCAUCGAGUCGCGACUUCUAGGAGACGCGAUUCUUUGAGAUAAAAGUUAUUACAACUUUCAGCAACGGAUCUCUUGGCUCUCGCAUCGAUGAAGAACGCAGCGAAAAGCGAUAUGUAAUGUGAAUUGCAGAUCUACAGUGAAUCAUCGAAUCUUUGAACGCACCUUGCGCUCCUCGGUGUUCCGAGGAGCAUGCCUGUUUGAGUGUCAGUAAAUUCUCAACCCCUCUCGAUCUUCUUCGAAGAGGGCGCUUGGAUAGUGGAGGUUGCCGGAGACUCGGAUUCGUUCCGAGACUCGGGCUCUUCUGAAAUGCAUCGGCUUGCGGUCGACUUUCGACUAUGCGCGACAAGGCUUUCGGCGUGAUAAUGAUCGCCGUUC